Molecule: long non-coding RNA, 217 nt
Organism: Sander lucioperca (pikeperch)
Lineage: Eukaryota; Metazoa; Chordata; Actinopteri; Perciformes; Percidae
Exons: 3
Source: RefSeq, a predicted model, not a curated record
GAGUGGAAAUCAAUUUGGAUGAAAAUGACUCGCUAGAGUAAGAUAUACUAUAUAAUAGAGAUGUUCUGAUACCAGUAUCGGAAAAGCCUCCAAUACUGUCUGACUCUGGUAUCGGUAAGUACCGGAGUUUAUGCACUGAUCCGACACCACAUAAUUUAGCCCUGAAGAAAAUCCACUUUAAAGUAGUUUAUUUUAGUUCUUUUUCAGUUAUAACGGA